RNAcentral lists this ribosomal RNA (468 nucleotides) under uncultured bacterium. Its description in RNAcentral is "partial 16S ribosomal RNA". It matches the Rfam family "Bacterial small subunit ribosomal RNA", at positions 28 to 507 of the family's 1533-position model. The record is from RNAcentral.
GACGAACGCUGGCGGCGUGCUUAACACAUGCAAGUCGAACGGAAAGGCCCUGCUUUUGUGGUGUGCUCGAGUGGCGAACGGGUGAGUAACACGUGAGUAACCUGCCCUUGACUUUGGGAUAACUUCAGGAAACUGGGGCUAAUACCGGAUAGGAGCUCCUGCUGCAUGGUGGGGGUUGGAAAGUUUCGGCGGUUGGGGAUGGACUCGCGGCUUAUCAGCUUGUUGGUGGGGUAGUGGCCUACCAAGGCUUUGACGGGUAGCCGGCCUGAGAGGGUGACCGGCCACAUUGGGACUGAGAUACGGCCCAGACUCCUACGGGAGGCAGCAGUGGGGAAUAUUGCACAAUGGGCGGAAGCCUGAUGCAGCAACGCCGCGUGCGGGAUGACGGCCUUCGGGUUGUAAACCGCUUUCGCCUGUGACGAAGCGUGAGUGACGGUAAUGGGUAAAGAAGCACCGGCUAACUACGUG